GUUAAUUACAGAGUUCAACCAAUGGUACUAGAACAAAAAAAAAUACUAAAAUGGAUAAAGUAUUACAUUGUACAUCAACAGUCAGCACAAGAGCUGUUUGAGAAACAGUGACUUGACCAUGCUUGUAUAUUUUCACUAAAAAUCAUUAGAAUACUUAUUUUGAAAAGCUGAAGUCUUAGGCAUUUGGAUGAAUAUACAAAGGAAUUUCAAAAAGUGGAAAACAAAAUUAAAAGUUCAUCUUGGUGCAAAAAGUUUUGAACACAGUGAAUAAUUUUUUCAAAACACACACUUUCCCUAAACAGUUUGAAGACACUUCAUACUUCAGCUGCCAUCAAAACAAAAGUAGAAAAAUAAUUUUUUUCAUUCCAGUCAAUGAAGCUGGAUUAAUACAGUGAUACUAACUUGAACUAUAAAAAUUUUUAUGUAUAAGUCUACCAUGAUGACACUAUUUUAAUAGAAAUAUUUAUAAUCUGGAAUUAUUUUUUCAGAUUGUGUUUGCUCAUCUUGAGAUGAAGAUAAAGAAACAUGUCUCCCCCAAAUCUUCCUCUUAUUUCAACUCACUCCAAUCUUCUUAGUAUAUUUGAAUGGUGAAAGUGUGGUUCCAGAACAGGAGGAUGAAGUGGAAGAGGGUAAAAUUGGGCCAGCUGGGCACUGCUGCCUAAGAAAAGAACUGGUGAACGUGAAGAAAGGAACCCUGUUCCCUUCAGAGAUAUCAGGGAUCGGUGCAGCCAUGCUCCAGCA
Molecule: long non-coding RNA, 741 nt
Filed under: Oryctolagus cuniculus (rabbit)
Lineage: Eukaryota; Metazoa; Chordata; Mammalia; Lagomorpha; Leporidae
Description: lncRNA (ENSOCUG00000039093.1)
Source: RNAcentral